RNAcentral lists this long non-coding RNA (520 nucleotides) under Gallus gallus (chicken). The record is from RNAcentral. Lineage: Eukaryota; Metazoa; Chordata; Aves; Galliformes; Phasianidae.
UCUUGGUUUAAUCUAUCAGACUUAUCUUGAUAAAAAGAGCGUUCUUCUUUAACAUCCUGUAACUCGUCUAGUGCAGACUGAAGAUCAUGAUUCAGAGCCUCAAUUUGUUCUCGAGCCUUCUCCAGUUGUUGAACAAGAUCCUCACGUUCAUGUGCUGCAAAGUGGCGAGCUCCAACUUCGUCAUCUCCAAGUCUUUGCUUUGCUAUUGUCAUUCGAAGGAGCUUAUUGUCCCCUUGUACUUCCCCGAGUCUCUGUUGAAGCUCCCUAAUCUCUUCUCCAAGGUGUUUAUUUUGAUCUUGAGCCUCACUCAGUAGUUGAGUAAGAUUUGCCUGUUUCCUCUUUUCAGGGGGAAGGGAUGGAUCUCCAUCAAUAAGCUCCCGGUACUUCUUUUUCAGAGACUGGUGUCGUUCUCGUAACUGGUUGGCCAUGAGCUUAUACUGGUCUCUUUCCUGUUGACAAGUGUCCAGCUCUUUGGAGAGGAUCAGCAAUGCCUCCUUUUUACUUUCCAGCUUCCUCUUGC